This 4709-nucleotide long non-coding RNA is filed under the name Olea europaea subsp. europaea. Lineage: Eukaryota; Viridiplantae; Streptophyta; Magnoliopsida; Lamiales; Oleaceae. The record is from RNAcentral.
GUAAACUAAAGGUGAUUUCUACAUUUGAAAAACUGGAUUUCAUACAUCAUCACAGUUAGUUACAAGCUACAAAAGUAUCAUGAAGGCAGGUAUAUAUUCCUGCUAACUUAGCCUAUAUUGAUAAGUAAAAUAUAUGUGCAUGGUGAACAAAUGCAUAAAAUCCCUCACAACCCAAGGACAUGUAUUAACAACUACUUAGGCUUACAAUAUCAUAUAUACCUGAAGGAAGUGACAUUUACUCAAAAAUUUAUGCUUAUAAUGGAGAACCAUAGGAGUGAUAUACCAUGUCUUUUGUCGAAUUGUACUCUUCAUGGAAAUUUACAAACAAAUUAUGAUUUAAAACCUUUUUUUACUAUAAUAUGCUAUGACAAUUUUACCAUUAAGCCCUUGAUUGAGCUCCAUUCUUUUGAAAAAGUGUAUUUUGCAAUAGUAUUUUAACAUCAUUUCAACCACACAUUCUUUAAUAAAAUAAUAUUAAAUGCAAAUCCAAAAUUUUUCUUUAUUUUUUAACUGCACAUUUCUCAUCAAUACACUGUUCAAAGAUUCAUUCUCUCCCCCAAAAUGGGUCUCAAACAACGGCUAAGUUCAUUACCUACUAUAAAGAGGGUACUUACUUUUGUCUUCUAAAUUUUAUAGACCAUUAAGUUCACCACCUAUUAUAAAGAGGUACUCGGUUAUAAUAGUUUGUCUUCUAAAAUUGAACUUCUUCAAUGUCAAACAUUUUCCUAUAAUUAAAAUACACAAACUGUGUAUUUUGUUUCAUUAUUUAGUAGACACCUAUUGUUAAUUUAAGUUUCAAAAAGGAGCAAGAGAUAUCAAAUAUUAUAAGACAUUUCGGCAGCUCAUGCAAUCAAGGAUUAAACAAUCGUUAGUUAGAAGAAAAGUAUUAGGACAAGCAAGCAAAUUAAUCAUCACAUAAUGUAUUAGAGGAAGUAAACAAAUUAAAUUACCUGAGGGGCUUUGGCUUGUCAUUUGUUGAGAAAGUAAUUUCAUGCAUAGGCCCACAUAAUCGUCAAUUCAAAAAAGGAAGCUACAGAAUGCAUAAUGUUAAGGUAUGCUAACAUGUUUUCAGUCUUGAAAGAAACGAUGACAUUAUUUUGUUAGCGAUAAGUUAAAAAGACACUCAAAUAAAUUGAAAAAGAUUGAUCUUUAUCAGCUUCCAAAGUCAUCUCAAUAUAAUUUUAUUCUUCUUUCAGAAUUAUAUAAUUACAUAAUUUUCUAGUCAUAUUAAAACAGAAGGAAAUAAAUAGAUAUAGUAACACAUUGUCCAGAAGAAAAAUAAAACAGUGAGUAAAUUGAAAGUUAAAAAGACCAAUGGGUGGCUAGCAUACCAAUAUUCAAUUUAGAUCUAAAAUUAAAACAGUGAAUAAAUUGAAAGCAAAAAGACCAAUUGGUGCUAGCAUAUCAAUAUUCAAUUUAGAUCUAAUUAGAUACAUGGGCAUAAAUAUGCCUAUAUUUUUCUUUUCCAUAUUUUGCAACUGCAAGAGGCAGUGAGGCUAUCUGCUAAGGCCUGAUGCUAUAUGCUUGCUCAAUACAGGAUCUGUGAUAGGGCCCAACACUUGGCCCCAUUUGACCCCCCAUUAUUUGAAAUUUUAAAGGUUAGAAAAGUGUUUUUUUUUUUUUUUUUUCCCCUUAAGAAUGUGUAGUUAAAAAAGAAGAAAAAAUUUUGGGAUUAAGCGUAAUAUUAUUUUAUUGAAGAAUAUGUAAUUGAUAAGAAGAGAGAAAAUUGAAUUAUAAUUUAAUGUGGGCCAAACAAAGGCUAAAUGCAGUAGAUGUAAUGAUCAGAUAUCAAUUUUACCAUGAUAUUGAAUGAUCCAACUCUUACAAUGUAAAGUCACCUUCUUUAGCCUAGAUAUCAAAUCUGAUACAGUGGAGGCGUGAGAUGAACACCUCUAUGAAUAGACUUGUUGAUUUCAACUGGUCAACUCCUCAUCGUUUCCCUAACCCAAAUAGAAGGUUGUAGAGACUGUAGAUGCUCUUUCGACAUGUGAAACUCGAAAACAAGAAAAACAGCUAAAAUCUUUGGGAAAAAAUCCUUCUUCUAAGAAAACAAAAUUUUAAAAGUUCUCCAGAUUGUGGUGGCAAAGGAUGAAGGUAGAAAGUGCAAAAUUGGUGGUCAUGGCAUGAGUUUUAUAAAGUAUUUAUUCACAAUAAUGAAUACUAAUGGUACGUCCAAACACGGACUAUUUUCUCCAUCUUUUUUACCACCUUUUCUUUUCUAUUAGCUGAUGGAAUGACAACGAGUGAUGGUAGUGCUUACCUCUUUAAUGUAAUCCAAUAAUCAAAAUUCUAUAAAUUUUGGCACUAUUUUAAAAACAUAAAUAUUGUCAAGAGCCCUUUGGGAGCAAAGUGCAACAGUGGUGAUCGAGAUGUAGUAGUGUAGUUGGUUCCAUGGUUCGUUGGUUGAGUUUAAACCUUCCAAUCACAUCAAUUAUUAUUCUUAACCAACAGCUAUUAGGUAUUACGGAAGUUGAAGUAUUACUAAAAAGCUAGACAUGUUUCCUGAAGGGACGUGAAAUUUAGACACACUUGUUUCCUUCUUAUGGGACAAAAGGAAAAUACCCCACAAAAAGGAGUUCUCAGAUCACAAGAUUCAACACUUAACACUAAAGUUCCCUUGAACAUUCGCCCAAGUAUUCCAUAGGAUGAUGAACAUAUUAUCUAAGCAGAAGAGUCACUUGAAACACCUACAAGCAGUGUAUAAGAACUAUGCUUCUAGGCCACCAUCAUCUAAUGAAGCUAAAGUUGGCGUCCUAUUACAUUCUCUAGCCAUAGGCAUCAAUCGAAAAGUCAAUACCUUGGGGAUCUUAGAACAUAUUCUAAAUGUACAUAUCCAGAGAUAGGAUAACCAAAAUUCAUGACUAACUGACCAAAACAAUCACUAAUUAUUAGAAUUUAGACAGACUGUGUAAAUAAAAUUCAUGGUUGUAUUCCGAACAAAAAAAAUAUGUGAUUUUUUGUAUUUAAAAAAUCAGACGAAACAUGUCAUGCAUUUACCAAUUAUCAUGUACGAAGUUCAUUAUUAUUCAGUAAUGACCUGAACUUCUUUCAUAGCUCAUGAUAGGGUCUCUGACAUAUUGUCCUACUGAGAUUCCAGACUUCUCUACCUGGUCGUGCCAAGUGAGUAUUUAUAUAGGGUGUGCUUCCAUGUUAAAGACCAACUCGUCCAAUAAAUUGACUGAAGGAGGUGAGAAAAGAAUUUAGAGAUUGUCUCCGCGAGGAAAAACUUCGCAUCAUAUUGUUUUCUACACCAGUAUUAACCCGAGAACAACAGCAAUGACGUCAGUGAUGAUAAAAUGGUUUAAACAUGCCCAACAGUCCUGCUCCCCAUCCUGAAAACCUUUACGAGAACAUAAGUUAAGAUAUGAUUACGUCCUUUAAUCCAACUUAUAUUGUCUCUGAGUUUAUUUCAAAUGCUUGAAAGAUAUUCCAUCCCCACUCCUGAUAUGUCUUGUUACCAGUCAAACGCUAGAGAUAAAAGAGUGAUUCAACACACUCGGGCCUCAAUGUGUUCUAUGAUGUUUCCACACACAUCCUGAAAAUCGUACAACCAUAGAAACAAAAAAAAAAAAAAGGCAAGAUCCUUACUUCGGAGUUAAGACCUAGUUUUAUAAGUACUGGAACCAAAUAAGCAAAAAGACUACCUGUCCUGAAUGGAAAAAGUAGUUCUCUCCAUCCAAUUUCACAAGCAUUGAUUGGUAUAAAUUAUAACAUGUCCAAGCAAGCUUCAUGAGGAGGUCAAAGUCAUUCCCUCAAAGUAAAUAAUUACCCACUCUGUAAGGCACUUUAAAUAUGAAUCUUAAAAUAUUUGUAUAAUAUCUCUUUUGGCAACAAUAAGAACUUCCUAGCCUCAUCAGGACCAUAGCCAGUAGAUCCUAAUGCUAACAUACCUGGAACAAAACAAGCAAUUUCAUCCAUCUACACAUAUAACAAAUGAUAAAAAAAUCAUUCUUCUAUGAAUUUUGUUUUCAGCAGUAAUUUUACCCAUUAGCACUAUAUAUCACCUUAUCUAUUAAAGAAUUCCCAAUCUUCGCACAAAGAUAUGCAAAAUUAGAGGGGAUAGUUCUCCAAACCAAGCUUUGAAGACCUUUCAUUGAAGUCUUCUACAUUUCUCUGUUAGAUACAGUCGUUAAUUAGAAAAUUACAAGAAAGGAAUAAUAUGAGAACAUUUGAAUUACAACUAUAGAAAAAUAGAAGUCAAAUAACCAACAAACACCAAGCUAUACUAAAAUGGAUAAAAAUAUAACAAUAAUAGCAUAAAGAUUAAAGAAAUACUAGACCUUCCUCGGUCAUGUAUGAAUCUAUGGCAUGUGGUUUUUUUUAUUUAUGAGGAUAGUAACAAAAAUAGCUGCUCACCUAUAAUGCCUUACCAUGGUUGUUUUGUUUCCUUGGAUCCGGAGUAGAUAUUCAUAGAAGCUGCAAUAUAUUUUUCCUUCUAUUUAAGCUGUGCACCUUAGACAACAAAGAAUAGCAAGCUCUAGCCACAGUAUUGUUGCACUGCACACAACUAUCAUCAAUACAGUGGAGAAAAGCAUCCAUAUCCCCCAUGAUUAGCGACUCUCGAACAGGGGGAGAAGCACAUCGACUCGGCGGCAGCCGACAGCAGGUCACAGCGUAGUGGAGAGAGCACAGAGCAGCCAGCGAGGACGAAGCAUAGUAGCCUAUAGGGUUUGCUGUCGAUUUAGGAAAUUAGAAUUGGUAAUGGCUGG